GGGGUCGACUGGAUUUGACAGCAUGUGAUGUUUUAUUGUAAGCAUGCCGGGCCAGGAGAGUAAGCCUGUUAAAAACUGUUUCUCAUGCCAAUAACUGGCAAUACUGACUACAGACUUGCAGCAUAAUCGCUAAGCGAUGAAGCCUAAUUCUACCCACUAGGUGGGAGAACAAGUUACCCUUGGAUGGACUAGCGCUUAAAGGUCCAUACGUUUGGGUAUCGUCAUUUAAGCUCGGGUGAAGUUUGCUUCGAACGGAUCCUUAAAAAACAGAAGAUAAGCCCACGGUCGGCAGCCCUUAGCCUGCCUCAGGUCGAAAAUGAACAUAGGGAUAAGCAUGUAGAAAGCCUUAGAAUGCCAUGUUUGGACGGGGGUUCGACUCCCCCCGACUCCACCA
RNAcentral lists this transfer-messenger RNA (394 nucleotides) under Flavobacteriales. RNAcentral's name for it is "JABDKJ01 sp013002285 Standard tmRNA". It matches the Rfam family "transfer-messenger RNA". From Rfam's summary of the family: Bacterial tmRNA, also known as 10Sa RNA or SsrA, is named for its dual tRNA and mRNA-like properties. Its role is to liberate the mRNA from a stalled ribosome. RNAcentral also lists the same sequence under 1 other name. Lineage: Bacteria; Pseudomonadati; Bacteroidota; Flavobacteriia. The record is from RNAcentral.